AUACGGAGGGUGCAAGCGUUGUUCGGAAUUACUGGGCGUAAAGCGCGCGUAGGCGGUCUGUUAUGUCAGAUGUGAAAGUCCUCGGCUCAACCGGGGAAGUGCAUUUGAAACUGGCAGACUUGAGUACUGGAGGGGGUGGUGGAAUUCCCGGUGUAGAGGUGAAAUUCGUAGAUAUCGGGAGGAAUACCGGUGGCGAAGGCGACCACCUGGCCAGAUACUGACGCUGAGGUGCGAAAGCGUGGGGAGCAAACAGGAUUAGAUACCCGAGUAGUCC
RNAcentral lists this ribosomal RNA (274 nucleotides) under uncultured bacterium. RNAcentral's name for it is "partial 16S ribosomal RNA". It matches the Rfam family "Bacterial small subunit ribosomal RNA", at positions 523 to 796 of the family's 1533-position model. The record is from RNAcentral.